CACGUAGGGGGCAAGCGUUGUCCGGAAUUAUUGGGCGUAAAGAGCUCGUAGGCGGUUUGUCGCGUCUGCUGUGAAAACGCGAGGCUUAACCUCGCGCCUGCAGUGGGUACGGGCAGACUAGAGUGCGGUAGGGGAGACUGGAAUUCCUGGUGUAGCGGUGGAAUGCGCAGAUAUCAGGAGGAACACCGGUGGCGAAGGCGGUUCUCUGGGCCUGACCUGACGCUGAGGAGCGAAAGCGUGGGGAGCGAACAGG
This 253-nucleotide ribosomal RNA is filed under the name uncultured bacterium. Its description in RNAcentral is "partial 16S ribosomal RNA". It matches the Rfam family "Bacterial small subunit ribosomal RNA", at positions 524 to 776 of the family's 1533-position model. The record is from RNAcentral.